This 155-nucleotide non-coding RNA is filed under the name Candidatus Syntrophosphaera thermopropionivorans. Lineage: Bacteria; Pseudomonadati; Candidatus Cloacimonadota; Cloacimonadia (SeqCode); Cloacimonadales (SeqCode); Cloacimonadaceae (SeqCode). The record is from RNAcentral.
UGGUGCUACUUGAUAGGUAAAAGGGAAUCUCGUGAAAAGCGAGAGUGGAAACCGCCACUGUAAGCAGCUCAAGGGCUGAAUCAGUCACUGUUUUAAAAAAUGGGAAGGCUGAUUCUUUAUAGCCGCUGCAAGCCAGGAAACCUGCCACUAAUAAC